AGCGAACGCUGGCGGCAGGCCUAACACAUGCAAGUCGAACGAACCUUUCGGGGUUAGUGGCGGACGGGUGAGUAACACGUGGGAACGUGCCUUUAGGUUCGGCAUAACUCAGGGAAACUUGUGCUAAUACCGAAUGUGCCCUUCGGGGGAAAGAUUAAUCGCCUUUAGAGCGGCCCGCGUCUGAUUAGCUAGUUGGUUGAGGUAAUGGCUCACCAAGGCGACGAUCAGUGGCUGGUCUGAGAGGAUGAUCAGCCACAUUGGGACUGAGACACGGCCCAAACUCCUACGGGAGGCAGCAGUGGGGAAUCUUGCGCAAUGGGCGAAAGCCUGACGCAGCCAUGCCGCGUGAAUGAUGAAGGUCUUAGGAUUGUAAAAUUCUUUCACCGGGGACGAUAAUGACGGUACCCGGAGAAGAAGCCCCGGCUAACUUCGUG
RNAcentral lists this ribosomal RNA (434 nucleotides) under uncultured bacterium. Its description in RNAcentral is "partial 16S ribosomal RNA". It matches the Rfam family "Bacterial small subunit ribosomal RNA", at positions 29 to 507 of the family's 1533-position model. The record is from RNAcentral.